Molecule: long non-coding RNA, 7531 nt
Filed under: Taeniopygia guttata (zebra finch)
Lineage: Eukaryota; Metazoa; Chordata; Aves; Passeriformes; Estrildidae
Description: lncRNA (ENSTGUG00000029383.1)
Source: RNAcentral
UAAAUAAACUUUGAUUUUUAUUUAACUGAACACCCAACUUAAAUAUGUCAAUUGCACACAGACCCAAGCAAAAAUUUAAUACUUUAACAUCAAGGGGUUUUUGAUCUAUUAAAAUGCACAUAUGUUUUCUGCUGAUUUUCUGUGAACAGUAAUGCAUAUUCCACACAGGGCUGAAAGUACAAUCCAAGAAACAUCCACAGGAAGUUCUUGCCAAAAGUGAGGAACAAUGUUGUCUUCAGGACAGACUGAAUAAAGAGUCACUAAGAAUAUUGCUAUAAAUGAUACCCUGGGCAGUAACAUGUUAAUUUGUUUUCCAACUAGUGGGAGUUUCAUUACUCAUGGCACAUAAAGGAGAAUGCCUGUGGUUUAUUGCAUGCAAGCUGAUGUUUUCCUCCACAUUUUUUCUUCUUUAUGCAUAGUCUUGCACUUCCCCAACUAUGAGGUAUUCCUCUUCACCUACUAAACUUCCACACAUGCACUAGUAAGUACACUCUAAAAGACAGGUAAAAAGUUUGGUAUGGUGGCUUACAGAAAGGACAACAGUUAGAGAACCAUCAGAAAUCAAAUACGCAUAUUCAAGCAGUGGAAACCCUCUUUUCACGGUGACUUAAUCAGACUUCUCAGUCAGUUUCUGCCUGUCUCUUGUCCUUUAUGUUGAAACAGUGACUAAUCUUCCAAAUGGCUUUCACUCACUUCCUCUCAAUUUUGCUGUACUAAUAUCAGGGCAGCAAAGUGACUGAAACUCAGGCAGGACUGGAAUGUCUAGGCUGUGAUUUACCUGGGAGAGUCACAGUUGGGAGUAGCAGCUAGGUAAUGAUUGCCAGGAAUGAGCAAACACAGGAAGUCUCUACUCUCCUUCCUUGUUCCCUGUUAAUAGUACAGGCUUCAUUAGCAAAUGCUUUUCAGCUCCAACAAUCACCAGGAAACUCCAGACUGCCAGGAGCCUAGAAGGAGGGAGGAAGGGAGGGGUUGCACGUCUCAUCAUCCUCAUCAGAUGGGCCAGAGACUAUCACAUCUGUACAAAGUAAGAAACACCUAAUUCCUCACCUACCUGCAUGAGCUUCAGUGCAACUUCUUACUGAGUCAAACUCUUUUGAAUACAAGUACAUCGGCACAGUUCAGAUAAUUAUCUGGAAAAAUCCAGCCUACCAAAUAUUUUUCCAGAAUUCUUUAUUAUUCUGAAGAGAAUAAUAUUCAAAUGAGAGGCCUUUCUACACCAGUUAAUGAAACACAUCUUAGGGAGAGAUUAAACAAACAAAGGAAAAUAUAGAUUUCUGCUCUUUUUCCUGAAUAAUACCUUUGUUAGACAGCAUUCCAGAAAUCACUCAGAAGACCCCAUCAACUCCCCACUGUAACCCAUAAAAACCAGACUGUGCUACAAACUAUGGCUCAUCCCAUUGUGAGAAACGAAGCCCACUUUUAAAAUUUCAAAGGUUCACUAAAUCUUAACCAAAAUACAACAAAGGCCUGAAUAAAGAAAAAUUACAGCAUUGAGCAUCCUUGUGACCAGCACGCGCAUACUCAGCUACAAAAUGGAUGGUCUGUCUUUUAUACUCUUAACACCCUCCCAAAGUUUUGUCAAUCAACUCCUUCUUUGCCAUCCAUUGGGGGAGAUUACAUUCUUAUAUCUUGAGUGGAGGUCGGGUGUUGUUUUGCCAUGCCUCUUAGUAAUAAGCUGGUCCUUCCUAAAUGCCCUGACUAUUACAAGGGGGAGUGGAAAGAGGACUAUGGGAGGACAUAUCACAAUAACAUCACUAUAUAUACACAUAAUAUCCAUCUUUUAAUUGUGAGAGCCAACCAUGACAUUGCUCAUCUAUGCUCAAAUGUUUUCCAUUUGAGACAAAUAAAUUUCUGCUCUUCUCUGUGAGAGACCAGGGACAUUAAGUCAACCUUGGUGAGGGAAGGUGCAGAGGAUGUGAGAGAGGUUUCCUUUCACCUGCUGAUUUCACCUUGCUCACAGCUGUGAGCCAAGACGAGAAAAUCUCCACCCAUCAGAGAUGAUAAGUGUCAAGCUGCUGCCUUUUUAGACUGAUCCUGUGUCCUGGAGCACUGUUAUUUCCUGAUUAUCCUGUGUCACUUUUUCCACAAAGAUUGGGUCCAAAUUACUCAUCAGGCUGUGUUAGGAGGUGACUGACACCGAUGAAAACUUCUUUUCAAAAAGCAGGACAGAGCUUCUUCCCAAAGAAUGUGUCCUGUCUUUCAACAUAUUUUUAGUCACUCUUCUAUAUCUUAGCAGGCCAUAAUGUGCUUCACAUCAAUUCCUCCUUUAGUAUGUAAAAAUAUUCAUAUUGUUUAAAAGCACAUGUAAACCUAAAGCAAGUGUAAACCUACAGCUACUCGGUUUCUCAUUUCUUGUUGUUUUAAUUCAGUAUUCUUUCAGCAUUGAAAGAUAAAACCUGACUAAUAAGAUAAUUUUCAGUCAGCUGCUCAAUGGUCAAGGUCUAACCAAGCCCAUUCUUUUUUCGUUGCUUUAUUUUAUUUCGCUAAUCUUUUGCUGCACAUAGAUUAUUUGCUUUCCAUUCUCUUUGGUCCUCUUUCUGCAUAUCUCCUUCCCCCAUCAGUCCUCUCUGGUUUCCCUCCUUCUUGCCCACUGCACACACAAAUCUUCUCAGCUGGAGCCAUCAUCCAGACUCUUCCAUUUUAUCCUGGCUCCUCUUUUGCUCUCUAUGCUUCUCCUUCCUGUUUUUAGUUUCUCAGUUGCAAACCCUUUCUUCCACCAUCAUCAAUUUAAGGGUUAAAAAACAAGAAAAGAAAAAGAAAAAAGUCACUGUAUAAGCAUUAAUGUUAUUGUGUGUGUGUAUGUGUGCUGGGUAGGAAGAUGGAAUAAAAGCUCUUUAUUUCCGAUACUGAAACCAUUAACAGUUUCUAUUUGGUAAUAUUAUGUUGCCCGGCAAUUCCAUUUACUGAAUGUUCCUAAGGGUUCAGUUCCACUGAGGGGACAAUGAAAGUAAUGAUUUUGAUUUACUAAACUAACUACUUCUUUUUACUCAGAAUUUGGUUUACUCUCACUUUGGUGCUGUAAUUGUACUUUAAACAUUUUUAUUAUAGUAUGUACUUGUUUAAGUGCUGUCUUUUGAAUUAUGAUGAUUUUACAUUUAGUUACCCCAUGCAGAUAUGAAAUGUUCAUUGUUUUAUUUUAGGGAGCCACUCCAAUGUUUCAUUUUGAACCAUUUACCUACUGCAAGAACAUAGCCAAGCCAAAAAUAAAUCUCUCUCUUCACUGUUUUCUUUAAGUUCUUGAUCAAGCCUUAUUUUAAUGAGUCCUGAUGAGAAAUGGGGAUUAAUCUAAAGAAAACUAUAAACUUAACAUUUAACUUUUAAAUCAAAGUACAUUCUACAAGUUUUCAGAGUCUUUCAAUGAGAGAGACAUCUUCACGUACUCUUCAGACAACUCAGCAUCAAAAUUUAAUCAUACCGAGAGAAACAGCAGCUGAGAGAAACAUUUUAUUCUGUUCAGUUCUUCACUGUACUCAAAAAGGGUGAAAUACCUUAAAACAAUGUUGGAAUAGCUGGGGGUCUGGAUCUUCUGAAAGAGUGGACAAAAACAUAGACCACAAUACUCGAAAUAAAAUCACCAUGAACUAACAGAGGAGUGUGCUGUCUUCUCCCACAGCAAAACUGAGGAGAAAGAAACCUUUGAAAACUCUUCAGAUGCUCUCUCUAUAGUUUCUGAUUAAUUUUCCUCUCAGAGACUCUAACUACAAGAGACUAAUGUGUGAUCAUCAACAUCCAAUGUGUGAAGAAAUUAAGUUUCCCUUUAUAGAAAAUCCAAUAGAGUUCAAUAGCAAAUAAUUUUUCUAGUGACUUGAACUUACGUGCCUAUGGAAUACAACAGAUCAGUUAUAUUCCUGUUGUGCAGCUCUUCAGGCUAGUUAAAAAUUACCAUAAAAUCCCUUCCUAGUGAAAUUUUACAAAACAAAUGAUUAGCAGAUGAAAUAGUUACGGAUGCACUACCAUUAAUAAGAUUAUGUUAAACAGGAAGAUUUGGCCCAUGUGUGUUUAGAGUAAUUUGAUAAAAAAUCAUUGCAAAUUUCUGUUGGUUUUAACAACUAUUAAAUGCUACAUCACUUUCCCAUAUUGAUCUUACAUGCUCUGUUGUUUUCUCUGGUUUUAUUAAUGGGGAGCCCCUCCCUUCACCAUAUGGUCCAGCCACUAUCCACAGUUUUCUCUGCUUAUUUCACCAUCAUGUAACACUCUCCUCUUCUGGGAACUAUACAACACAGUAACAUGCGAAUGUUGCUCACAGUGCAACACGAAUUUAUGCUGAUUUCUCUGGCACAGUACAGCAGGAGCUGACCAGGCCAGCCUCCUGCACAAAACAUCUGCUCUGAAGCCUUGUUUGCCUUACAAAAUCCUCCAUAGCAGUAAGGACCAACCUGCACAGAAUUGGCACAGAGACACUCUGGGUUCCCAGCAGAGGCAAAACCUUCACUGGUAUUUCCAGUGAGUAUUACAAACUACUCUGCUUAACUUCGAAUAUUCUGUGUCCUUCUUGUGAAGCACAUCCCAUGUCAACCUAUAGUCAAGUGAAUAUUCACUCAGAAGACAUCUGAAGAAAGUGAGUAAGAGAAGCAAAUCCAUAUAUGCCAUCCAGCAACCUAAAACUGUGCGAUUUCUGGUAAGGUCUUUAUUUACAGAAAGAAUUUUGCAAGGAUUCACAACCAUUAAAAAUCACAUCCAUGGAGGAAACUCAUUAUUCUUAAUCUCAUCUCAUUUUAUCUCUUCAGAAAGAGCUGUAAAAUGUCUAGCAUUCAUACAUUUAAACUAUGAGCUCCAUUCUGCAUGAGUUAUUGGGUAAAAGACCUAUUGCCACUUUACACUAAGAGGCUGAAAAUUGGGUUUCUGCUGAUUUUUUAUGUCUUGUUUCCUUUAGUUGUAUUAAACACAGCUACAAGCUGAUAAAAACUCCUCACUUUCAACCACAUUUUCAGAGAACAGCUGAGUUUGAUGAAUUUCCCUGAAGUGGUUAAAAUAAAGAUCUUAUUUUUCUCUGUGUAGGAGUAAUUACUUUGCCAGGCAUUCAAUAAUUUUGUCUUGACACAAAUCAUAUUUGCAGUUUGAUGAGAUUUCAGUAUUGCUGUAAGAUUAAAGAAGUCAACACUCGUUUUAUAUUAAGAUGUGCCUGCACUCAACAUUUUGUUUUUAUUUGUGGUGAAACAUAUCUCCACAGGUAAAAGCUUCUCCUCUGAUGCCCAAGUAGGAAAGAGGAAAAAGAAGUACAAACCUUCCUAAUAUUACAGCCUUUAAGUCCCUCAAAACUCUCUCAUACCUUCCUUGGGACAAAACCCACUAGUAUCUCCGAGACAGCUGUCAAAGACCUCAGCUCUGCCAUUUGUGUUGUUUCUUGACAAUGUAAAACUUGCUGCAUUUUGAGCUUUUGAAAUAGUGGCAAGAACAAGCUGAACUGAAUCUAACGGUAACAAAUGGAAUUGGGGAAUGUUGUAUAUAUUGCAUAUGUGUUGAAUGUUCUGGCAUAGGAAGGGAGUGAAUGGGGAUGAGAGCAACAAGGUGCGAUUGCACCCCUGCAGUAUCCCAGCUCCUGAGAGCUGUAUCUAACAAGAUGCUGUUCCUACACUCACAUGGGUCUGGGAAGAUAGUACAGUAGAAAAUACAGCAUGGGGCUUAGAACACAAAUCAGCAUUGAACUUUGCAUAUCCCAACUGAAAGAGGCAGCUGCUACCAGCGAAGGAGAUACAAAUGCCUUUCCUCCAUACAGGCCAGCUGUCUUGCAAACAGAUAUCUCAGGUGAUUAAGGAGAAAUAGAGGUAACAUUUUCACACAAACUAAGGUCAUAUUUUUGGUAAAGACCUACUUUGCAGAGGGGUUGGAAGGAGUUGGAGAAGUUCUCUAUAGCCUGUGUGAAUUGUUCAGAUCAGGAUUUUAAAAUGCACAGCUCCAUGGAGACCUCAUCAAGAAUUCCUGACUGGAAAACCCAUUGCACUCUACCGCUGCAGCUGCCAAAAAGCAGACAGUGGAAAAAAAAAAUGUCUUUUCCCUUCAAUAAGGGUAAAAAUUCCCUUCCCCAAACCCAUGUAAGUAGCCCGCAAUUGUAAACUAGUCUAGGCAAAACAAGUAAGGUUGUGUCUCUGUUUUCAAAAAGUAUGACAGCAUAAAGAAUUGAGAUUGACAUUAAAGUUCCACAAAAAUAGACUGAAAAGCUUGGUGAGAGAGAAAAGAUGAAUAGUUCAUUGGCUUGAGUACUGAGUGAGAAAGGGAACAGGGAGUCAGGUAAAAAUGAGGGUGGGUUUUCAUGCCAUGAAGACACUUCAGAGUUUGUAGAGCAAACCAAGAGAUAAUGAAGGACAGAAGAGCUGGGUGUCAUUUUGGCAGAGGGCUAAAUGAAAAAGGCUACAGUGCAUGAUUUAACUGAAGUUAGGCAGCAAAGGCUUGGAAAUUAAAGAUGGGGGGGAAAUGGGAUGAAUGAAAAACAAUUGUGCAAAAAACCCAGAAUACAAAACUUCUAGUAACUGGUGCCUUAGCUAGUACCAGGAUCUGGGAAAUAGGAGUUUUUUAGUGUUGCUUCUUCCAGAACUUUCAUUGUAUAAAAAUUUGGUCUGUAUUUUUCAAAAGCCUAAAUACGGGAGGGGAAAGUAUUCUCUCUCAGAGACCCUUUUUUGAUUAGUAAAGAAAUGCAAUGGUAAAAUAAACCAUUCAGUAUUGCGGAAAUAUCUGUGAAGUAGCUGAAGCACAUAGUAAAGACCAAACCUAUAUCUGCUUCCAGUUCAAACCCACAACAAAGUAGGUGGCAGUUUUGAACACCUCAAAAUGUAUAUAGUGAUUGAACAUAAUACAAUGAUCAAAUGUCAGCCUUAGCUAUUGCGAAAUGGGUAUUCCCCAAAAGUCCUGACUAUGUUCAGUCUCCGUUCCCAUUUCCUGACAGAGGAAGAAGUACCAUGACAUGAUCAAGGGCCUCUUUGUGGAAAUGGGGUUACGGGUCUUGGCAAAUCAAGGUACAUUCAUCAGUUUUACCCCCCCUGACACACACUUGGGUACCCAGAAAUUAUUUGUACCAGCUGAGUUUCACUAAUUGCUUUCAGAUCUAGAAGUUUGUUUCACUAAAAUUUAUCUGUCUCCAGCAAUUACCCUGUUUGGUGCAGAGCUCACUUCUGUUUUAGAUUUUCAGGGAAAGAAAGAAGGAAAGAAAGAAAUAAAAUAUAUAUUAGGUCUUGGUUCCUUUGGUCAUAAAAUCACCCUAAGUAUACAUUCAGUUUAAACUGUCAGAAAGGAAAGAAGAAACUGUUUCUUGAUACAGAUGAAUGUUUUCCCUUGUAAUCUAACAAUGAGAAAUCAAAUGAAUGUGUGGUUAAUUUUAGACCCAAAUCAAAUACAGAACCCAAACCAAUGUCUUACAGUCCUUUCAUUAUCUGAAAAAAACACCAAAAGGCAGAAAAAAACAGCUGUCAUAAAUAAGUAAUUAUUUUAAUUUUAAUGCCAUACUUCCUGACCUCACAGCAAUUCUCCCAGUUGCAGUCUGUCCUUUCAAUCAUCUGGCUAGGGAAAAAAAAAAAAAAAAAAAAAAAAAAAAAAAAAA